This 484-nucleotide ribosomal RNA is filed under the name uncultured soil bacterium. RNAcentral's name for it is "bacterial SSU rRNA". It matches the Rfam family "Bacterial small subunit ribosomal RNA", at positions 26 to 518 of the family's 1533-position model. The record is from RNAcentral.
AGGACGAACGCUGGCGGCGUGCUUAACACAUGCAAGUGGAGCGACGAACCAGGGCUUGCCCUGGGGCAGAGCCGCGAACGGGUGAGUAACACGUGGGUUACCUACCCGAUGACCGGGACAACCCGAGGAAACUCGGGCUAAUACCGGAUGUGGUCUUCGGACGAAAGGAAGCUUCGGCCUCCGCAUCGGGAUGGGCCCGCGGCGCAUUAGCUUGUUGGUGGGGUAAUGGCCUACCAAGGCGACGAUGCGUAGCUGGUCUGAGAGGACGAUCAGCCACACUGGGACUGAGACACGGCCCAGACUCCUACGGGAGGCAGCAGUGGGAAUGUUCGCAAUGGGCGAAAGCCUGACGACGCAACGCGCGUGGAGGAUGAAGACCUUCGGUCGUAAACUCCUUUCGAUCGAGACGAAUGGCCCCCGGUCAAUAGCCGUGGGAGUGACGGUACCGAGAGAAGAAGCCCGGCUAACUCCGUGCCGCAGCCGC